GCAGCCCCCAGCUCUCAGCCCCUACUAACUAGUGUCAGUUCUCGCUCCCCCUCCGGCCAGCUCUCCCUCUGGGACACCGGCGUCCGGCUGUGCUAGUCCUUGCAUCUCUUUCUUUUCCCUGAUCUCUCCCUCCCCGUCCUUGGCCCGAAACCCCUUGGAUCUUCUGACGGCACCUCUAGAAAGCCACCCCCCACCCUUGAAGCCGCAGUGUCUGGGGCUCCCGGCUCCCUGACCCCUGGGACCCUGCUCUUUCAAAACCUCUCCCUGUCCCCCCACUCCUCAAGGGCCCGGAUGUCCUGAGCUGCCAGUAACAAGCACUUAUUAAGUCCCUACAGCGGAGCAGGCAUUGGGCUCCAAGUUAGGUAUCAGUCAUUGGGAUCCCAAUCCCAGCGUCCCGGGCUCCCACUUCCUCAGCCCUUUGGCACCCGUCCCCAGGCCCUGGAAUCGCAGUCUGGCCGAGCAGGGGGUCCUCCUCCCACAGCCCCAUUUCAGUGUGGAGGAAGCCGGAGGAAUGAAAGGAACUCGCCAAGUGAUGUUUGUCAUCAGGACGCCAGCAUCUGAGCCUCUCAGCCUCCGACCUCGGGACUCCACCUCUGCCUCCUCUCAUUUCCACGGUCCAACUUGGAACAGAGAGAUCUUCCCACUUUCCUCAUCUUCCAGAAUUCAAAUCUGGCCUCAGAUACUUCUUCGAUGUGCCAACCUGGGAAAAUGAUCUCUCUGCUGAAAACGAGGGAACAAAAAUGACUAACGGAGAGUUGAUAUCUGAGAUAAGAAAAACAGUAGGAAGCCCUCCUUGAUUGAAUUCAAGUCUCCUUAUCUGGAUGAAGUAUAGCUUCAAGUCCUUAGAGAACUGGAGAUGUGAUGGCUGAGCCUGGGGCACAUAUCCAAGAUGUGAUACAAAAUCUUCCAGGACUUCUCAGUACAGACAACCCCUAUCCCUCUCUGCAUGUCCAAGGCCAUCCUGUUUCCCCAGGCCAUCCUGCUUGCAGCAUCCAAUUGGCUGGCAGUGUCCUUUACUGCCUCUCCUAAGAACAAUGGGACCCAAAGUCCUUUGGGAUAUGGGGCGAUGAUCCCAUCUGCUGAAACGACUGGGCAUAGAGCCGAUUCAUCUUACAGAGUCCCGAUUUGGAGGGACACCGGACUGACCGAAGACCCAGUGGCGUGAGUCAGAGCCUUGAAGCUGGUCAAUACAACUAGAAGAAAAAAACGAACCUAAGAAGCUGAGGUCAGGGACAGACAACGACUGCUGAGGGGAUCUCCACUUGGAGACAUUGCCCAUGUCAGGACCUUCAGAAAUGUUUAGAGGAGGUUCAUCUCACAGCCUGAAGUUUGGCCAAAAAGUUGAGGCAGGUGAGUUGGAGAGAGAGAGCUCCUCCCUCUUGGGCCUUCCACCUAACAGUGGCCAGUGAAAAGAGAUUUCACAAGACUGAAGGGUUUUUUGGGAUCCUGGUACAGACCCAAGAGAAGUUUCCACUGGCUUGUCUCUGGGAUUAGAAACUGGCCUCAGGAGAUUUAAAACCACCCAGAGGGGGAAGAAUAUAUCCCCUCUUUGUCAGGGUCUGCUGAAGGAUCAACUGGAAAAGGCCAGCUGAUUGGCCAGUAGCUU
This is a long non-coding RNA of Sarcophilus harrisii (Tasmanian devil), 1606 nucleotides long. RefSeq lists it as uncharacterized. Lineage: Eukaryota; Metazoa; Chordata; Mammalia; Dasyuromorphia; Dasyuridae. The transcript has 7 exons. The record is from RefSeq and is a predicted model, not a curated record.